AUUCCUUUCAGAUGUCAACCUCAAUUAGGAAGCUAAACUAUAUAAAAACAUGGUCAGAUUAAAGCAUCCAUUUCAUCCUGCAGGGUUCUGUUUUCUUAAUCAUCUGAUAGCACCAUGGGAAAAUCGGCACAUUGGACAGGACGACUGAAUUGAAUGGUGACCACAUCUAUGAGACUAUCGUCCAGCAUGUAAAUCUCUGUUAUUUUAUCAACAUAUGAAUGAAGCAACUAGUGAUUGAAAACUAUAAUUGUUUUUACGCCAGCUUGGACAUGAGGAUUGGAAUGAAGAUUCUCAUCCAGCAACGAGAAUUCUGAUUCAUAGAACACCUACACAUACGAUAUUGGAGGACAGACCGACAAGACGACAUUCUGGCUCAGUCAGGUAAGAAUCCCCUGCAUACCAAGAUUAGGACUUAAAUAUAGGAAUAACUGUCCUUUUUGAGUCGAUUAAUAAUAAAAAGGCGACCCAGAAAUGUCCUCAGUCCUCAAUAUUCUUAGUUUGUCACGAAGCAAUAAAUUUUGUUUUCUCAUUAUUCUUAGUUUGUCACGAAAAAAUAAAUUUUGUUUUUAUUUGAAGACUUUCACAAAUCAUAAAUUGGAAACUGUUAAAGCAGCAUAUUGAGUUUAAAUUAUUUAUCCUACUGGUUUUCAUUCAGUUAACUAAAU
Molecule: long non-coding RNA, 665 nt
Organism: Olea europaea var. sylvestris
Lineage: Eukaryota; Viridiplantae; Streptophyta; Magnoliopsida; Lamiales; Oleaceae
Exons: 3
Source: RefSeq, a predicted model, not a curated record